RNAcentral lists this ribosomal RNA (366 nucleotides) under uncultured bacterium. Its description in RNAcentral is "bacterial SSU rRNA". It matches the Rfam family "Bacterial small subunit ribosomal RNA", at positions 28 to 384 of the family's 1533-position model. The record is from RNAcentral.
GACGAACGCUGGCGGCGUGCUUAACACAUGCAAGUGGAGCGACGAACCAGGCUUCGGCCUGGGGCAGAGCCGCGAACGGGUGAGUAACACGUGGGUAACCUGCCCCGAUGACUGGGACGAACCCGGGGAAACCCGGGCGUAAUACCGGAUGUGCUGCCCUCGCAUACGCGAGUGCAGGAAAGGAAGCUUCGGCCUCCGCUUCGGGAUGGGCCCGCGGCCCAUUAGCUUGUUGGUGAGGUAACGGCNCACCAAGGCCGCGAUGGGUAGCUGGUCUGAGAGGACGAUCAGCCACACUGGGACUGAGACACGGCCCAGACUCCUACGGGAGGCAGCAGGUGGGGAAUCUUGCGCAAUGGGCGAAAGCCU